Long non-coding RNA from Salvia miltiorrhiza (redroot sage), 1351 nucleotides. RefSeq lists it as uncharacterized. The record is from RefSeq and is a predicted model, not a curated record. Lineage: Eukaryota; Viridiplantae; Streptophyta; Magnoliopsida; Lamiales; Lamiaceae. The transcript is spliced from 5 exons.
CUUCUCUCUUACUCGUUCUCUCUCCCCUUACCAUCUACUCUUCCUCCCCGAUCUCCCUCCACCCCCUGCUCUCGUUCGCGGCGCCGCCGCGAAUCGCCGCUGCGUAUCCUUGCUAUGGUAUCCUCAUCGCUGCUCCUGUCGAAAGCUCGCGGCAGUUCGGCAGUCGCCGAGGAAAUCUCGGCUGCGGCGGGCGAUGAGAGCGUGAUUCGGGAAGAUAAGCUGCGGAGCAUAAGGAAUCGUCAGCGACAUACGACUGGACCGAGGAAUGGUAUCCGCUGUACCUCGCGAAGCAAGUAUCGGACGACGCGCCGCUAGGGCUCACCGCGACAUCUGCCGCGAACCGCCGCUGCUCGAGCAGCACCAGCGGUCGUCGCCGCCAAUUGCACCUCCGCCGUGGUGGUUCUCGGCUAUUGCUGCCCCAUUUUCUUCUUCUAUUUUGUUCUUUUUCUUUACUUAUUCUAUGUUAAAUCCUUGUUCUAAUUCUUCCCUAACUAUUCCCCUAUUUCAGGAAUCGACCGAAUGUCGAACGUUGUCGAUUCGAGGGUGAGAAAUGAGCAAAGAGGUCUGGGCUCGCCCCUGCCUCACCCAGAGUCCAGACGGCCACCGUGAGCCGGCCUCGCCCAGCCAGAGCCAAAUUAGUGUCGGAUUUCUCCAAUUCUCUCUGGUGAAGGCUGCCUAAGAGAGGAGAUGUGGAGCCUGGGGAGAUUCCUACGUUGCUCGAUUUGGGGUUUAAUCCGAAUGCUGCAACGGGGCAGUUUCUCUACAGAUUGAAAUGGACGACGCAACACGCGAGAUUCUGCAACUGAUAGAUGGGAUUGUGGAAAGAGCCGCCGAGCUUGAUGCCAUGCUCGACUCUAAGGAAGAGUUGAUAAGGAAACAGGAGUCAAUUAUACGACAAUUAACUGAAGAGCUUGCGGAGGCAAAAGCAAAGAUUGCAGAGGGGAAAAAAAUGCGCAAGAGAAUACGUGAAACUAUUAUGGAAUGUGAUAGCGCAAGACCUUGGUGCACGUAUGCAAGCGGGCAGCAGGCUGUGGUCGAUUGGACGGCCAAUUAAAAGUGCAGCAGUUUCUGGUCAUCUUCUUUUCAUUAGUGUUGUAUAUAUUUUGUAGUUUCAGUUACACGAAUUAGAUUCAAGAUCAUCUAUGUGAUUGAGUGGUAAAAGUGAGAGGAAAAGUCUGCUGAUUUUGCCAGAUCUUGAGCUGUGAUUUGUAACCGAUCGAUUCUUGUUGUUAAUUAGUGAAGAAGAGAGCUCUGCAGUGGAUGUAUAUACUUAAAUCUUGUGUUCUUGACCUUGCUGGUAGUGAUGGGUUGGAAGAAACUCAGGCAUGAGAAUGACAGUAAUUUAUGUAUA